UAGGGAAUCUUCGGCAAUGGGGGCAACCCUGACCGAGCAACGCCGCGUGAGUGAAGAAGGUUUUCGGAUCGUAAAGCUCUGUUGUAAGUCAAGAACGGGUGUGAGAGUGGAAAGUUCACACUGUGACGGUAGCUUACCAGAAAGGGACGGCUAACUACGUGCCAGCAGCCGCGGUAAUACGUAGGUCCCGAGCGUUGUCCGGAUUUAUUGGGCGUAAAGCGAGCGCAGGCGGUUCGAUAAGUCUGAAGUUAAAGGCUGUGGCUCAACCAUAGUUCGCUUUGGAAACUGUCAAACUUGAGUGCAGAAGGGGAGAGUGGAAUUCCAUGUGUAGCGGUGAAAUGCGUAGAUAUAUGGAGGAACACCGGUGGCGAAAGCGGCUCUCUGGUCUGUAACUGACGCUGAGGCUCGAAAGCGUGGGGAGCGAACAGGAUUAGAUACCCUGGUAGUCCACGCCGUAAACGAUGAGUGCUAGGUGUUGGAUCCUUUCCGGGAUUCAGUGCCGCAGCUAACGCAUUAAGCACUCCGCCUGGGGAGUACGACCGCAAGGUUGAAAC
RNAcentral lists this ribosomal RNA (554 nucleotides) under uncultured bacterium. RNAcentral describes it as "partial 16S ribosomal RNA". It matches the Rfam family "Bacterial small subunit ribosomal RNA", at positions 355 to 900 of the family's 1533-position model. The record is from RNAcentral.